This 1765-nucleotide ribosomal RNA is filed under the name uncultured eukaryote. RNAcentral describes it as "SSU rRNA". It matches the Rfam family "Eukaryotic small subunit ribosomal RNA". The record is from RNAcentral.
AACCUGGUUAUCCUGCCAGUAGUCAUAUGCUUGUCUUAAAGAUUAAGCCAUGCAUGUCUAAGUAUAAAUCGUAUACAGUGAAACUGUGAAUGGCUCAUUAAAACAGUUAUAGUUUACUUGAUAAUCGAAUUUUAUAUGGAUAACCGUAGUAAUUCUAGAGCUAAUACAUGCUGUUUAACCUGACUUUAAGGAAAGGUUGUAUUUAUUAGAUAUUAAACCAGCAGCUUCGGCUUCUGUGAUGAUUCAUAAUAACUGAUCGGAGAGAAGCUAGUCUUCUCUAAAUCAUUCAAGUUUCUGCCCUAUCACAUUGAUGGUAGUGUCUUGGACUACCAUGUGGAUCACGGGUACGAGGAAUUAGGGUUUGAUAUCGGAGAGGGAGCCUGAGAAACGGCUACCACUUCUAAGGAAGGCAGCAGGCGCGUAAAUUACCCAAUCUCAAUUCGAGGAGGUAGUGACAAGAAAUAAUAACUCGGGUAGUAUCUACUAUUACGAGAUUAAAAUGAGAACAAUGUAGACAUCUUAUCGAGGAACAAUGAGAGGACAAGUCUGGUGCCAGCACCCGCGGUAAUUCCAGCUCUUAUAGUGUAUAUUAAAGUUGUUGCAGUUAAAAAGCUCGUAGUCGAUCUUCUAGUGCCCGCUGCCACGGCUCACUGCCGUGGUAGUCGAGUGCUAUCUGUUCGAGAACUUCAUCUACCUUAACUGGUCGAUGAUGCCUGAUCGAACUCUUUCCUGAGAAAAAAUUAGAGUGUUCAAAGCAGGCUAUUGCCCUGAAUAUUACAGCUUGGAAUAAUAGAAUAAGACUGAAGUCUCUUUUGUUGGUUAUGAACUUUAGUAAUGGUUAAUAGAAACAGUCGGGGGUAUUAGUAUUUAAUUGUCAGAGGUGAAAUUCUAUGAUUUAUUAAAGACUAACUUAUGCGAAAGCAUUUGCCAAGGAUGUUUUCAAUUGAUCAAGAACGAAAGUUAGGGGAUCAAAGACGAUCAGAUACCGUCCUAGUCUUAACUAUAAACGAUUCCGACUAUGGAUCGGGAGGGUCUUUCAAGCCUUCUCGGCACAUUAUGAGAAAUCAAAGUCUUUGGGUUCCGGGGGAAGUAUGGUCACAAGGCUGAAACUUAAAGGAAUUGACGGAAGGGCACACCAGUUGUGGAUUUUGCGGCUUAAUUUGACUCAACACGGGGAAACUUACUAGGGCAAGACUAAGGUUGGAUUGACAGAAUGAGAGCUCUUUCUUGAUUCUUAGGGUGGUGGUGCAUGGCCGUUCUUAGUUGGUGGAGUGAUUUGUCUGGUUAAUUCCGUUAACGAACGAGACCUUAACCUGCUAAACUAGGAGCCGGAUUACUCAUCUGGUUUCCUUCUUAGAGGGACUAAGUGUUCAAGCACAUGGAAGUUUGAGGCAAUAACAGGUCUGUGAUGCCCCUAGACGUCCUAGGCCGCACGCGCAAUACAAUGACACGUUCAACAAGUUAUUUUCCUGGCUCUGACGAGUUCGGGUAAUCUACAGUACGUGUCGUGCUUCGGGAUAGUCCUUUGCAAUUAUAGGACUUAAACUAGGAAUAACUAGUAUAGGUAAGUCAUCAGCUUGCCUAGAUUGCGUCCCUGCCCUUUGUACACACCGCCCGUCGCUCCUACCGAUUUUGGGUGAUUAGGUGAACCUUCUGGAUUAGAGCUGUCUUCAAGGCAGUUUUGAGAAGUUAAGUAAAUCAUUAUCACCUAGAGGAAGGAGAAGUCGUAACAAGGUUUCCGUAGGUGAACCUGCAGAAGGAUCAA